This 492-nucleotide ribosomal RNA is filed under the name uncultured bacterium. Its description in RNAcentral is "partial 16S ribosomal RNA". It matches the Rfam family "Bacterial small subunit ribosomal RNA", at positions 29 to 507 of the family's 1533-position model. The record is from RNAcentral.
AGUGAACGCUGGCGGUAGGCCUAACACAUGCAAGUCGAACGGCAGCACAGUAAGAGCUUGCUCUUACUGGUGGCGAGUGGCGGACGGGUGAGGAAUACAUCGGAAUCUACUUUUUCGUGGGGGAUAACGUAGGGAAACUUACGCUAAUACCUCAUACGACCUACGGGUGAAAGCAGGGGAUCUUCGGACCUUGCGCGAUUGAAUGAGCCGAUGUCGGAUUAGCUAGUUGGCGGGGUAAAGGCCCACCAAGGCGACGAUCCGUAGCUGGUCUGAGAGGAUGAUCAGCCACACUGGAACUGAGACACGGUCAAGACUCAUACGGGAGGCAGCAGUGGGGAAUAUUGGACAAUGGGCGCAAGCCUGAUCCAGCCAUACAGCGUGGGUGAAGAAGGCCUUCGGGUUGUAAAGCCCUUUUGUUGGGAAAGAAAAGCAGCAGGUUAAUACCCCGCUGUUCUGACGGUACCCAAAGAAUAAGCACCGGCUAACUUCGUG